Bombus impatiens (common eastern bumble bee) is the source of this 690-nucleotide long non-coding RNA. RefSeq lists it as uncharacterized. The transcript is spliced from 2 exons. The record is from RefSeq and is a predicted model, not a curated record. NCBI's taxonomy places the organism in Eukaryota, Metazoa, Arthropoda, Insecta, Hymenoptera, Apidae.
AUGAAAGUUUCAUGAAAACAGGGCCAAUAAUAUAAAAGUUUUAUUGUUGCAUUGUUGCCUCAUCGAUAUCCUAUCUUGGAUCGAGUAAUGUUGCUCGCCAUUAUCUGUGUAGUCGGUAGUAGAUGCUCAAUAAAGAAAAACUACGUAAUUGUUUUAUCGUAGAUCCUAAGAUAUCAUCAAAGUGCUAAAAUAUCACUACCGAAAUACUCGAUAAUUCUACAAAAAUCAGAACUCAAAUAUUGCAUUAAUGAAGAUGUAGAAACGAUUCUAUUUCUGGAAAUUGAGAUCUUAGACGUGUAGAAAAGGAUAAUUCGAGUGAAAGAGAAAGCGAGAAUCGAAGCGAUCGACAAAUAUUAAAGCAUUGCGAUAAGUUGACUUUUAACUCAAAAAUCAAACUUUUUUAUUUUAAUUUUUGAUCAAUAAAACUUUUACCAACAUGCUUCCUAUAUUUUUCUAUUAAAAUAACACCAAAUACGAUAUAAUUUGGUUUCAUUUUUAAAUUAAUACCCAGGUACAUUGUCUCAACGAUAUCCGACAUUGGAUCAUGUCAUACUACACGAUCGUGGCGGGCCGUCGAGUUUUUCGCCAGGGGAACCUUCUCUUCAUAGUGGGAAUGACGAGUGUGCAAUCAAGAUUCCUCUUUAGUUGUUAAAUAGUUUUUUGCAAAAACUAAUAAACAUUUGAACAUGA